UACGUAGGGGGCAAGCGUUGUCCGGAAUCAUUGGGCGUAAAGCGCGCGUAGGCGGCCCUGUAAGUCCGUUGUGAAAGUCAAAGGCUCAACCUUUGAAAGCCGAUGGAUACUGCAGGGCUAGAGUCCGGAAGAGGCGAGUGGAAUUCCUGGUGUAGCGGUGGAAUGCGCAGAUAUCAGGAGGACACCAAUAGCGAAGGCAGCUCGCUGGGACGGUACUGACGCUAAGGCGCGAAAGCGUGGG
Molecule: ribosomal RNA, 241 nt
Filed under: uncultured bacterium
Lineage: Bacteria
Description: partial 16S ribosomal RNA
Rfam family: Bacterial small subunit ribosomal RNA
Source: RNAcentral